CCUACGGGUGGCAGCAGUGGGGAAUAUUGGACAAUGGAGGCAACCCUGAUCCAGCCAUGCCGCGUGUGUGAAGAAGGCCCUCGGGUUGUAAAGCACUUUCAGUGAGGAAGAACGCCUGGUGGUUAAUACCCAUCAGGAAAGACAUCACUCACAGAAGAGGCACCGGCUAACUCCGUGCCAGCAGCCGCGGUAAUACGGAGGGUGCGAGCGUUAAUCGGAAUUACUGGGCGUAAAGCGCGCGUAGGUGGCUUGAUAAGCCGGUUGUGAAAGCCCCGGGCUCAACCUGGGAACGGCAUCCGGAACUGUCAAGCUAGAGUGCAGGAGAGGAAGGUAGAAUUCCCGGUGUAGCGGUGAAAUGCGUAGAGAUCGGGAGGAAUACCAGUGGCGAAGGCGGCCUUCUGGACUGACACUGACACUGAGGUGCGAAAGCGUGGGUAGCAAACAGGAUUAGAUACCCUUGUAGUC
Molecule: ribosomal RNA, 465 nt
Filed under: Vreelandella stevensii
Lineage: Bacteria; Pseudomonadati; Pseudomonadota; Gammaproteobacteria; Oceanospirillales; Halomonadaceae
Description: partial 16S ribosomal RNA
Rfam family: Bacterial small subunit ribosomal RNA
Source: RNAcentral